This 117-nucleotide ribosomal RNA is filed under the name Conexibacter sp. JD483. RNAcentral also lists the same sequence under 2 other names. The record is from RNAcentral. Lineage: Bacteria; Bacillati; Actinomycetota; Thermoleophilia; Solirubrobacterales; Conexibacteraceae.
UCCGGUGGUUAUAGCGAGAGGGAAACACCUCUUCCCAUUCCGAACAGAGUCGUUAAGCCUCUCAGCGCCGAUGGUACUUGGCCCGCAAGGGCCUGGGAGAGUAGGACGCCGCCGGUU